UACGUAGGGUGCAAGCGUUAAUCGGAAUUACUGGGCGUAAAGCGUGCGCAGGCGGCUUCUCAAGUCAGGGGUGAAAGCCCAGAGCUCAACUCUGGAAUUGCCUUUGAGACUGAGUGGCUUGAGUACGAGAGAGGUGAGUGGAAUUCCCAGUGUAGAAGUGAAAUUCGUAGAUAUUGGGAAGAACACCGGUGGCGAAGGCGGCCAUCUGGACCGCAACUGACGCUGAGGCGCGAAAGCGUGGGGAGCAAACAGG
RNAcentral lists this ribosomal RNA (253 nucleotides) under uncultured bacterium. Its description in RNAcentral is "partial 16S ribosomal RNA". It matches the Rfam family "Bacterial small subunit ribosomal RNA", at positions 524 to 776 of the family's 1533-position model. The record is from RNAcentral.